AUGCACGCUGGCGGCGUGCCUCAUCCCUGCCAGUCGCGCGAACAGACGAGGAGCUUGCUCCUCUGACGUUAGCGGCGGACGGGUGAGUAACCCGUGGAUAACCUACCUAUAAGACUGGGAUAACUUCGGGAAACCGGAGCUAAUACCGGAUAAUAUAUUGAACCGCAUGGUUCAAUAGUGAAAGACGGUUUUGCUGUCACUUAUAGAUGGAUCCGCGCCGCAUUAGCUAGUUGGUAAGGUAACGGCUUACCAAGGCAACGAUGCGUAGCCGACCUGAGAGGGUGAUCGGCCACACUGGAACUGAGACACGGUCCAGACUCCUACGGGAGGCAGCAGUAGGGAAUCUUCCGCAAUGGGCGAAAGCCUGACGGAGCAACGCCGCGUGAGUGAUGAAGGUCUUCGGAUCGUAAAACUCUGUUAUUAGGGAAGAACAGAUGUGUAAGUAACUAUGCACGUCUUGACGGUACCUAAUCAGAAAGCCACGGCUAACUACGUG
Molecule: ribosomal RNA, 496 nt
Filed under: uncultured bacterium
Lineage: Bacteria
Description: partial 16S ribosomal RNA
Rfam family: Bacterial small subunit ribosomal RNA
Source: RNAcentral